This 250-nucleotide ribosomal RNA is filed under the name uncultured bacterium. RNAcentral's name for it is "partial 16S ribosomal RNA". It matches the Rfam family "Bacterial small subunit ribosomal RNA", at positions 524 to 773 of the family's 1533-position model. The record is from RNAcentral.
UACGAAGGGGGCUAGCGUUGUUCGGAAUCACUGGGCGUAAAGCGCUUGUAGGCGGAUCGUUAAGUCAGGGGUGAAAUCCCGAGGCUCAACCUCGGAACUGCCUUUGAUACUGGCGAUCUGGAGUCCGGGAGAGGUGAGUGGAACUCCGAGUGUAGAGGUGAAAUUCGUAGAUAUUCGGAAGAACACCAGUGGCGAAGGCGGCUCACUGGCCCGGUACUGACGCUUAAGAGCGAAAGCGUGGGGAGCAAAC